UGCCAGCCGCCGCGGUAAUACGGAGGCACCAAGCGUUGUCCGGAUUUAUUGGGCGUAAAGAGCUCGUAGGCGGUUCGGUAAGUCGGGUGUGAAAACUCUGGGCUCAACCCAGAGACGCCACUCGAUACUGCUGUGACUUGAGUACGGUAGGGGAGCGGGGAAUUCCUGGUGUAGCGGUGAAAUGCAUAGAUAUGACACAGAACGCCAAUUGCGAAGGCAGCUUACUAAGCUACGAUUGACGCUGAGGCACGAAAGCGUGGGGAGCGAACAGGAUUAGAUA
Molecule: ribosomal RNA, 280 nt
Filed under: uncultured bacterium
Lineage: Bacteria
Description: partial 16S ribosomal RNA
Rfam family: Bacterial small subunit ribosomal RNA
Source: RNAcentral